This 744-nucleotide ribosomal RNA is filed under the name uncultured bacterium. Its description in RNAcentral is "bacterial SSU rRNA". It matches the Rfam family "Bacterial small subunit ribosomal RNA", at positions 8 to 796 of the family's 1533-position model. The record is from RNAcentral.
AGAGUUUGAUCAUGGCUCAGAACGAACGCUGGCGGCAGGCCUCAAACAUGCAAGUCUAGGGGGUGUAGCAAUACAUCACCGGCGGACGGGUGCGUAACGCGUGGGAAUAUACCUAUCGAUUCGGAACAACUGAGGGAAACUUCAGCUAAUACCGAAUACGUCCUAACGGAGAAAGAUUUAUCGUCGAUAGAUUAGCCCGCGUUCGAUUAGCUAGUUGGUGGGGUAACGGCCCACCAAGGCGACGAUCGAUAGCUGUUCUGAGAGGAAGAUCAGCCACACUGGGACUGAGACACGGCCCAGACUCCUACGGGAGGCAGCAGUUGGGAAUCUUGGACAAUGGGGGAAACCCUGAUCCAGCCAUGCCGCGUGAGUGAUGAAGGCCUUCGGGUUGUAAAACUCUUUCGCGCACGACGAUAAUGACGGUAGUGCGAGAAGAAGCUCCGGCUAACUUCGUGCCAGCAGCCGCGGUAAUACGAAGGGGGCUAGCGUUGUUCGGAAUUACUGGGCGUAAAGCGCGCGCAGGCGGUCUUCCAAGUCAGUGGUGAAAGCCCGGAGCUCAACUCCGGAACUGCCAUUGAAACUGUUGGACUUGAGUAUGAGAGAGGUGAGUGGAAUUCCCAGUGUAGAGGUGAAAUUCGUAGAUAUUGGGAAGAACACCGGUGGCGAAGGCGGCUCACUGGCUCAUUACUGACGCUCAGGCGCGACAGCGUGGGGAUCAAACAGGAUUAGAUACCCUAGUAGUCC